RNAcentral lists this long non-coding RNA (1081 nucleotides) under Equus asinus (donkey). RNAcentral describes it as "lncRNA (ENSEASG00005027234.1)". Lineage: Eukaryota; Metazoa; Chordata; Mammalia; Perissodactyla; Equidae. The record is from RNAcentral.
GGGUAGACUUCUGGCUCCUUUGACCCCUCCAGGGGGUUGAAUCUGAUUCUAGGGAGAUGGCAGCCCCAGAUGUGUGGCGAGAAGGUGGCUGGAGGAGGAGACUGGACUGAACGCACCCCCCUUCUCUCCUCUGCUCUGGCUGGAACCGGCAGGGGCCCAGUUAAGCUGCAUCUCCCAGCGGCUCCUGGAAUGCCUGUCGAGUCUUACCUGGCUCCAGGGCUGCGUGCUCCUGGUGGGCAGGACUGCAUCCUCAGCUCCCGGCACAGUGCCUGGCAGAGAUUCGGUGCUCAGUGCAUGCUGAGGAAUGAAUCAUUGGGUGGGACACGCCGCGGGGAGGGGGGACUCUCUGGGGUUUGUGGCUUGAAACCUAACAGCCUCUGUUGCAUACCCUCUUUGGCUCCAGUGACCCGAGUGAUCUACAGGCUAGACUAAGGGAAGGACUUCCCUGCACUCAGGGCAGGAGUGCAGAGGACAGGCAGAUUCUUACUUGAAAAGAGCUGGCCUAGGGGCGACUGGGGCCGGCAAUGACCCUGAUUCUGUGGCAGAGGUCGGAGGUCACCUCUGUCCUCUCUCCAGCUUUAGGAUUUUUCAGAAGGUUGGAAAGUCCUUUUCUUCCCCCCCCCCACCAUGGGUGUGAGCAUGUCCCUUGCUCUCUUUAGGUCUGGGUUUCUUGGACUCUAGCUGAGGCAGUGGAGCCCACCUCUGAGCCUCCAAGGCUGGGCUCUGAGGUUGUUUAGCUGCUCUGGGCACCACGGACUGCCCGUAUUGGUUAUUAACGUUUAUUUGAGAACACAGGGUUCAGAUCCUAAAAAUACCUUGUCCGGCUGGAGCCUAGGAGUUGCCGACCUGGGCUUGUGUAGCAGUGGCUGCAUCUUGAUCCGAUAGAUGCAGAGCCAGGAGAAACUAGGAGAAUGUGGGGAAACUGAGGCAGCAUGGAUGGGAGAUGCACAGGAGACAGAGCCUUUGUUUUGCAUGGAACAAAGGUUUAUAAAAUGAAUGGUGCCAGUUAGUCAAAUUAUGGCAACAUUUAGGGAAAUCUGUUAUCCUACACUGCAGAGAACUUCCUUCUCAGAGAGUCUGG